GGGGCAACCUGGCGGCGAGCGGCGAACGGGUGAGUAAUGCAUCGGAACAUGUCCAUGUCGUGGGGGAUAGCCCGGCGAAAGCCGGAUUAAUACCGCAUACGCCCGAGAGGGGAAAGUGGGGGACCGCAAGGCCUCACGCGAUUGGGUUGGCCGAUGUCCGAUUAGCUAGUUGGCGGGGUAAGAGCCCACCAAGGCGAUGAUCGGUAGCUGGUCUGAGAGGAUGAUCAGCCACACUGGGACUGAGACACGGCCCAGACUCCUACGGGAGGCAGCAGUGGGGAAUUUUGGACAAUGGGGGCAACCCUGAUCCAGCCAUUCCGCGUGAGUGAAGAAGGCCUUCGGGUUGUAAAGCUCUUUUGUCCGGAACGAAACGGUUGGCGUGAAUAUCGCCGACUACUGACGGUACCGGAAGAAUAAGCACCGGCUAACUACGUGCCAGCAGCCGCGGUAAUACGUAGGGUGCGAGCGUUAAUCGGAAUUACUGGGCGUAAAGCGUGCGCAGGCGGUUUUGUAAGCCAGAUGUGAAAUCCCCGGGCUUAACCUGGGAAUGGCAUUUGGGACUGCAAGGCUGGAGUGUGGCAGAGGAGACUGGAAUUCCUGGUGUAGCAGUGAAAUGCGUAGAUAUCAGGAGGAAUACCGAUGGCGAAGGCAGGUCUCUGGGCUGACACUGACGCUCAUGCACGAAAGCGUGGGGAGCAAACAGGAUUAGAUACCCUGGUAGUCCACGCCCUAAACGAUGUCGACUGGUUGUUGGGGGUUUGACACUCUCAGUAACGAAGCUAACGCGUGAAGUCGACCGCCUGGGGAGUAC
Molecule: ribosomal RNA, 811 nt
Filed under: uncultured beta proteobacterium
Lineage: Bacteria; Pseudomonadati; Pseudomonadota; Betaproteobacteria
Description: bacterial SSU rRNA
Rfam family: Bacterial small subunit ribosomal RNA
Source: RNAcentral